CAGUCGCCACGGUAAUACGUAGGUGGCGAGCGUUGUCCGGAUUUAUUGGGCGUAAAGCGCGCGCAGGUGGUUUAAUAAGUCUGAUGUGAAAGCCCACGGCUCAACCGUGGAGGGUCAUUGGAAACUGUUAAGCUUGAGUGCAGGAGAGGAAAGCGGAAUUCCCAGUGUAGCGGUGAAAUGCGUAGAUAUUGGGAGGAACACCAGUGGCGAAGGCGGCUUUCUGGACUGUAACUGACGCUGAGGCUCGAAAGCCGGGGGAGCGAACGGGAUUAGAGACCCCUGUAGUCCCUGUCUCUUAUAC
Molecule: ribosomal RNA, 301 nt
Filed under: uncultured bacterium
Lineage: Bacteria
Description: partial 16S ribosomal RNA
Rfam family: Bacterial small subunit ribosomal RNA
Source: RNAcentral